RNAcentral lists this ribosomal RNA (494 nucleotides) under uncultured bacterium. RNAcentral's name for it is "bacterial SSU rRNA". It matches the Rfam family "Bacterial small subunit ribosomal RNA", at positions 29 to 536 of the family's 1533-position model. The record is from RNAcentral.
AAUGAACGUUGGCGGCAUGGAUUAGGCAUGCAAGUCGAGCGAGAACCGUAGCAAUACGGGGACAGCGGCGAAAGGGAGAGUAAUGCGUGGAUAUCUACCUCCGGGCCUGGGAUAGCCGCGGGAAACUGCGGGUAAUACCAGAUAAUGUCUCCGGACCAAAGGUGUGAUUCCUCCGGGAGAUGAGUCCACGUCCUAUUAGCUAGUUGGUAGGGUAAUGGCCUACCAAGGCAAUGAUGGGUAGCAGGUGUGAGAGCACGACCUGCCUCAUUGGGACUGAGAUACUGCCCAGACACCUACGGGUGGCUGCAGUCGAGAAUCUUCGGCAAUGGGCGCAAGCCUGACCGAGCGAUGCCGCGUGCGGGAUGAAGGCCUCGGUUGUAACGCUGUCAGAGGGAGUGAAAUACGUCGGGGUUCGUCCCCGGGUUUCGGUACGAUAUCCUCAGAGGAAGGACGGGCGUAAGUUCGUGCCAGCAGCCGCGGUAACGUAGUCUACG